This 255-nucleotide ribosomal RNA is filed under the name uncultured bacterium. RNAcentral's name for it is "partial 16S ribosomal RNA". It matches the Rfam family "Bacterial small subunit ribosomal RNA", at positions 524 to 776 of the family's 1533-position model. The record is from RNAcentral.
UACGUAGGGGGGCUAGCGUUGUCCGGAUUUAUUGGGCGUAAAGAGCGUGUAGGCGGCCAGGUAGGUCUGCUGUGAAAACUCGAGGCUCAACCUCGAGAUGUCGGCGGAAACCAUCUGGCUAGAGUCCGGAAGAGGAAAGUGGAAUUCCUGGUGUAGCGGUGAAAUGCGCAGAUAUCAGGAAGAACACCCGUGGCGAAGGCGGCUUUCUGGGACGGUACUGACGCUGGAGACGCGAAAGCGUGGGGAGCGAACAGG